Molecule: unclassified non-coding RNA, 354 nt
Filed under: Hevea brasiliensis (rubber tree)
Lineage: Eukaryota; Viridiplantae; Streptophyta; Magnoliopsida; Malpighiales; Euphorbiaceae
Source: RNAcentral
UGGCAUCUGAAUUCAAUCUCUGGAAUUUUAUUCACAUUUUGGAAAAUGACAGAAGGUUGAACUUGAGCAAGACUUGUAUGAAAGAAAAAGGGGGAAAAGAUUUAAAGCGGACUGCAAUUCUGAAUUUGAUUGGCUACUUGGAGGAAGCUCUUUUACUUAAUGAAAUAGCACUACAGAGCACUGAUGGCAUUUCAAGCCUGAAGAGAUAUCUUCACUCCAAGCUUUUACUGCUAACUUCCUGUCUGGCAUUCAUUGUGUAUCUUGUUGUCUUUGUUUCAACUUUCUUAUAAGUAAUUCAAUGCCGAUACGAAGUGCCAAUUUCCAUAUGUAACAAGGCUAAAAAUUAAACAGAUA